UGGUGUAUGAUUUUUUGAAUUAUCCAAUAUGCCCUUUUUGAAAAUAUUAAAUAAUUUAUGAUCAAACAUAUUGAAUUUGAUAUGAUUAUACUAAUUAAUUUUGUUGUCAUAUUGUUUAUGAACUUUCUAUUUGGAAUAUAAAAUAUGUUUUUAAAAAAAAAUUUAUUUGAGAUGGAUUUUAGCUCGUAGCCUGAUUACUAAUGGGGAUUGUAUGCUGGAACUUCGAUAUUCUACCAGUAGAGACUGUGUACUAAUAGUUUGAUAUUUUAAGAGUAAGGAUUGUGCGAUAAUAUUUUGAUAUUUUGCUAGUGGGGGUUGUAUGUUGGUAUUUUAAUAUCCUAUCAUAAGGGAUUACUUAGUGGCACUUUAUUUAGUUGGUUGUCUAGAUCAAUAUGAUAUUUCGAAAGAAAUUAUUUAUAAAUGAACAUAAAUUUUGAAAAAACUGAAUGUACGGAUUUUACUUUUUAGUAUAUUAUUUUUAGUAUAUUAUUAUUAUUUUUAGUAUAUUAUUAUUAUUUAAUUUAUUUAGUUAAGUGAUCAUUAUUUAUUGGGCUAUCUAGC
RNAcentral lists this long non-coding RNA (561 nucleotides) under Elaeis guineensis (African oil palm). RNAcentral describes it as "long non-coding RNA (EGUI_LNC058180)". The record is from RNAcentral. Lineage: Eukaryota; Viridiplantae; Streptophyta; Magnoliopsida; Arecales; Arecaceae.